AACAACAGUGUUACCCCUUAUGUUUUUUUCAAUGACGACCGAUAAAAAACGACAGUGUUACCCCUUAUGUUUCAUCUGUCUAGUGAAGGGAUCCAUUCUCUCACACAUUCAUUUCGAAUGACUGGAUGGCUGUGAAUGAGUGCACUCAUUCACAGCCAUCCAGUCCCCCAGACAGAUACAAAUACAGAAUGUACAGAAGUAUAUUUAGAUUAAGAUUGCUCUUAUCAUCUUUAUUGUCAUACAUAUGACCUGUCACAUUGAUAUUAAAUCCUGUACGGUGAAUAAAAAUACUUAGAAGUGUAAAAUAAUAACUUUUCUGUACAGGGACUUCAACUGAGAAAUCGACGCUUCCAACUUCAUCAGACGAAACAGUAACGUCUGAACAAUUGGCUUCUCGAACAAAGGUUCAAACUUCAACAGCAGAUCCAUUGACUUCUGCAUCCAUAGUUCUGACUUCAACAGAUGAACCAUUGACUUCUGCAUCAACAGUUCCGACUUCAACAGAUGGACCAUUGACUUCUGCAUCCACAGUUCUAAAUUCAACAGAUGAAACAGUUACUUCUGAACCACUGACUUCCAACUACUGUUCAAACUUCAACAUCAGAGCCAUCGACUUCUGCAAUCACAGUUCUGACUUCAACAUCAGAGCUAUUGACUUCUGCAUCCACUAUUCUGACUUCAACAGCAGAUCCAUCGACUUCUGCAUCCACAUUUAUGACCUCAACGAAUGGACAUUUGAUUUCUGCAUCCACAGUUCUGACUUCAACAGAUGGAACAGUGACUUCGGACCCACUAACUUCUCAAAUUACGGUUCAAACUUCAACAGCAGAGCCAUCAACUUCUGCAUCCAUAGUUCUGAUUCAAACGGAUGUACCAAUGACUUCUGCAUCAACAGUUCUGACUUCAACAGAUGGAACAGUGACUUCUGCCUCUAGUUUUUCUUUCAUGACGACCAAUAAAAAAUGACAGCAUCACCCCUUGUGAUUUCUUUGAGAACUAACGACACUAAUGACAUUUUAUCAAUUAUUUAUUUUAUAAUUGAUAAAAAACGACAGUGUUACCACUUAUGUUUUAAUUGAUAAAACACGACAGUGUUACCCCUUAAGUUUUUUUACGAAGAAUAGUGUUACACCUUAUGUUUUUUUUCACGACGAACAAUAAAAAACGAGAGUGUUACCCCUUGUGUUUCCUUUGAGAACUAACGACAGUCUUACCCCUUUAUUUCAUAAUUGAUCAAAAGCGACAGUUGCCCCUUAUGUUUUAUUUGAUAAAACACGACAGUGUUACCCCUUAUGUUUUAUUUUAAUAAAAUAAAAUAACAUUACCCUUAUGAUUUUUUCAUGACGACCGAUAAACAACAGUGUUACCCCUUAUGUUUUUAAGAUAAAAAAAACACCAGUGUUGUCUGUUAAGUUUGAAUUGAUAGAAAAUUACAGAGUUAGCCCUUAUGCCUUAUGUUUUUUUCAUGACGACCAAUAAAAACGACAGUGUUAGCCUUUUAGUUUUUUUUCAUUACGCCCGAUAAAAAAGAAGACAGCGUUACCCCUUAUGUUUUUAAGCAAAAAAAACACCACUCUUGCCCCAUCAUUGGUUCGACCCGUGGUUAAAUUCAUCAGACUUAUCCGUUUCACCGGUUCGUCAGGGCCCAUGAGAUUGGUCUCGAUAAUGUUGUGUCCUUUCCUCUGUUUCUACGGUUGUUGAAUUCGGCGGAACAGCUUUACAUCUGAAUAGUAAUAUGAGAAAAGAAGUACUUCUGUCCCGCCUGGGUGUUCUGUCAUGCCAGGGUGUUGUUCUCCGGGGCUGCAGUUGGAUACUAUUGGAUUUCUG
Gadus macrocephalus (Pacific cod) is the source of this 1827-nucleotide long non-coding RNA. RefSeq lists it as uncharacterized. The record is from RefSeq and is a predicted model, not a curated record. The transcript has 2 exons. NCBI's taxonomy places the organism in Eukaryota, Metazoa, Chordata, Actinopteri, Gadiformes, Gadidae.